This 548-nucleotide ribosomal RNA is filed under the name uncultured Glomeromycotina. RNAcentral describes it as "SSU rRNA". It matches the Rfam family "Eukaryotic small subunit ribosomal RNA", at positions 548 to 1098 of the family's 1831-position model. Lineage: Eukaryota; Fungi; Glomeromycota. The record is from RNAcentral.
UUGGAGGGCAAGUCUGGUGCCAGCAGCCGCGGUAAUUCCAGCUCCAAUAGCGUAUAUUAAAGUUGUUGCAGUUAAAAAGCUCGUAGUUGAAUUUCGGGAUCAAUUUAUUGGUCGUGCCAACGGUACGCACUGGUACAAUUGGUUUCUCCCUUCUGACGAAGCAUGAUGUCAUUAAUUUGAUGUCGUGGGGAAUCAGGACUGUUACUUUGAAAAAAUUAGAGUGUUUAAAGCAGGCUUUGGCUUGAAUACAUUAGCAUGGAAUAAUGAAAUAGGACGUUUGAUCUUAUUUCGUUGGUUUCUAAGAUCGACGUAAUGAUUAAUAGGGAUAGUUGGGGGCAUUAGUAUUCAAUUGUCAGAGGUGAAAUUCUUGGAUUUAUUGAAGACUAACUACUGCGAAAGCAUUUGCCAAGGAUGUUUUCAUUAAUCAAGAACGAAAGUUAGGGGAUCGAAGACGAUCAGAUACCGUCGUAGUCUUAACCAUAAACUAUGCUGACUAGGGAUCGGACGAUGUUAAUUUUUCUUGACUCGUUCGGCGCCUUACGGGAAAC